Molecule: RNase P RNA, 391 nt
Filed under: Apilactobacillus kunkeei
Lineage: Bacteria; Bacillati; Bacillota; Bacilli; Lactobacillales; Lactobacillaceae
Description: Lactobacillus kunkeei bacterial RNase P
Rfam family: Bacterial RNase P class B
About the family: Ribonuclease P (RNase P) is a ubiquitous endoribonuclease, found in archaea, bacteria and eukarya as well as chloroplasts and mitochondria.
Source: RNAcentral
UGUAUGUUCUGAGUAAUCGCGGUCAACUUAUGUUGGCUGAGGAAAGUCCACUCUCGCACAAGCUGCGAUGCUUGUAGUGUUCGUGCUCGGUGAAAAAAUAAGCCGGGGGACUACAAUUUGUAGUAAUGGCGAAGAAACGAGCUAAGGUUUUGCUAUGCUUUAGUACUUCUGAAAGUGCCACAGUGACGAUACAGGAUCGGAAACGAUACUGGUGGAACGCGGUAAACCCCGCGAGCGGGAAACCCAAACUUUGGUAGGGGAGCUUCACACACGGAAAUUGAACCAAGUGUGGGGGAGAAAUUUAUUUCUCAGAUAGAUGAUUACUACUUUAUAUUUAAAGGCCUGACUUAAAUAUAAAGCACAAAACAUGGCUUACAGGAAUGUACACCAU